Molecule: ribosomal RNA, 253 nt
Filed under: uncultured bacterium
Lineage: Bacteria
Description: partial 16S ribosomal RNA
Rfam family: Bacterial small subunit ribosomal RNA
Source: RNAcentral
GACGGAGGAUGCAAGCGUUAUCCGGAAUUAUUGGGCGUAAAGCGUCCGCAGGUGGCCUAUCAAGUCUGCUGUCAAAGACCGGGGCUUAACCCCAGAAAGGCAGUGGAAACUGAAAGGCUAGAGGAUGGUAGGGGCAGAGGGAAUUCCCAGUGUAGCGGUGAAAUGCGUAGAGAUUGGGAAGAACACCGGUGGCGAAAGCGCUCUGCUGGGCCAUAACUGACACUCAGGGACGAAAGCUAGGGGAGCGAACAGG